ACCGGGAUGGACGUACCGCUGGUGUACCAGUUGUUCCGCCAGGAGCACCGCUGGGUAGCUAUGUACGGACGGGAUAAGCGCUGAAAGCAUCUAAGCGUGAAGCCCCCCUCAAGAUGAGAUUUCCCAGUAUGUAAGACCCCUUGAAGACGACGAGGUAGAUAGGCUGGGGGUGGAAGUGCAGCAAUGCAUGGAGCUGACCAGUACUAAUCGGUCGAGGGCUUAUCCAAAA
RNAcentral lists this ribosomal RNA (229 nucleotides) under Paenibacillus sp. FSL H7-0326. Its description in RNAcentral is "partial 23S ribosomal RNA". It matches the Rfam family "Bacterial large subunit ribosomal RNA", at positions 2691 to 2925 of the family's 2925-position model. Lineage: Bacteria; Bacillati; Bacillota; Bacilli; Caryophanales; Paenibacillaceae. The record is from RNAcentral.